This 5575-nucleotide long non-coding RNA is filed under the name Lathyrus oleraceus (garden pea). RNAcentral describes it as "Pisum sativum (pea) long non-coding RNA (PSAT_LNC034302)". The record is from RNAcentral. Lineage: Eukaryota; Viridiplantae; Streptophyta; Magnoliopsida; Fabales; Fabaceae.
AACUUUUCCUCCCCACGAUCUUCCUACAUCCAUACAUCAUAAGCAUCUACAUACAUACAUCAUGCUCCAUCAAAGUCACGAAUCCUUCACUGCCCAACUAACCUCAUUGCAAUUCCCCCAAAAAAUUACCUCCAAUUCACCUCAUGAGUAUCACCACUCACCCUCAAAUUUACCUAUAUAAGCUAACACCAUUUUCACUGCAUAACACAUCUUGAUACAAUAAAACUCACUAUGAAAACUCUGUUACAUCCACACUUUCAAACAUGCAAAAAUUCCCUACAAACUCUUGCGAAGUUCUCAACAACCACCAUAGAGAUAAAGGAGGAAGAAAGAUUCAAAAGAAAGAGAAGAAACAUGGGAAAUGGAAUAAGAAUAAGGAAGAGAGUAGUUGAGCUUACCUGAGGUGAUUCUUGGCCUCGUCGGUUGGCUCGCAGGAAGCCUGAUAAACGAAGAUUCCAACGAGGUAUUUGUUUCCAUCAUUUACUUCACUUAUUACAUGUCUUUUUAUGUGUUCUUUCACAUUUAUUGUUCCUUCUCCUUUUGAUUUAUGUAAAACUGUUGUAAUCGAAUCAAAUUAUAGAAAAGGGGGCUAGGGUUUUCAAUUAGGGCUAAGGGCGAUUUGCAUUUUAUAUUUUGAAUCUGUUUAAUUGAAUGAUUCAUGAUCAACGUGAAAAUGGAGGGGGAUUCAUGUUGGUGAAUUUUGAUUUGAGAGAUUUAUGCAAAAUUCUGGAAAAAACAAAGACGGUGUUCUUCAUUUUUCAAAGUUUUUGAUCUGAAUUUUUUUUAAGAGUUUGGUUUAGUUUUUUGUUGGUCUGGUGAGAGGGAAUUAUGAAGAUAAUAUAUAUAAUAUAUAAUAUAAUAUAUAUAUAUAAUAUAUAUAUAUUAUAUAAUAUAUAUAUAUAUAUAUAUAUAUAUAUAUAUAUAUAUAAAUAUAUAUAUAUAAUAUAUAUAAUAUAUAUAAUAUAUAAUAAUAUAUAUAUAAUAUAUAAUAAUAUAUAUAUAAUAUAUAUAUAUAUAUUAUAUAUAAUAUAUAUAUAUUAUUAUAUAUAUAUAUAUAUAUAUAUAAUAUAUAUAUUAGAGAGAGAGAGAGAGAGAGAGAGAGAGAGAGAGAGAGAGAGAGAGAGAGAGAGAGAGAGAGAGAGAGAGAGAGAGAGAGAGAGAGAGAGAGAGAGAGAGAGAGAGAGAGAGAGAGAGAGAGAGAGAGAGAGAGAGAGAGAGAGAGAGAGAGAGAGAGAGAGAGAGAGGAGAGAGAGAGAGAGAGAGAGAGAGAGAGAGAGAGGAGAGAGAGAGAGAGAGAGAGAGAGAGAGAGAGAGAGGAGAGAGAGAAGAGAGAGAGAGAGAGAGAGAGAGAGAGAGAGAGAGAGAGAGAGAGAGAGAGAGAGAGAGAGAGAGAGAGAGAGGAGAGAGAGAGAGAGAGAGAGAGAGAGAGAGAGAGAGAGAGAGAGAGAGAGAGAGAGAGAGAGAGAGAGACGAGAGAGAGAAGAGAGAGAGAGAGAGAGGAGAGAGAGAGAAGAGAAGAGAAGAGAAGUAAAAGUGAGGUUUUACGUGAUAACCUCUCUCCUAUUUAUCCAUCCCUAGUCUUUUCCAUGUGCACGCCUUGUUGCUUUAUGGGUCGUCGGAUAUAUUGACUACACACCUUUGAUUUGGGGUCCCAUUAGGGGACCCCCACCAUAACACACUAUGCCUUCUUUCCACGUCCUUAGAUCCAGUUUGUAGAUGAUCUAACGAGUCAUAUUAGAGUCCUUUGUUUGACUCCUUUGGAUGUUCCGUGGGCAUACACCUUGCUUCUUUGUGCUAUCCACCCCCUUGUGUUUUUUUUGCUACUGCGAAUUUUAUUUUUUGGGCCUUUAGCCCAAGUUCUCUUUUUGCUUAUUCAACAUGCACUCCCCAUUAUUUGCACCCCUCUUCCUUAUUUUUUAUUUUUUUAAUUUCUUUUUUGAAAAUCUUAAGAAAAACAUUUUAAUUAAUAUAAUUAAUAUUUCCGUAGCAAAAAAACACUUGAUUAACUAUCAAGAUUUUCAAAAAUGAAUUUCAAAACCAUUCAAAAACCUUUUUAGCAAAUUCAAUCCUUUUUUUUCAAAAUAACACGAAUCAAAAUGCUUGAUCUUUUCAAGCUCUUUUCAAAACUUUAUCAUUUUAAAAACUUUUUCACAAUAAAUAAUCGGAUAAAAAAAGGACUAGUUGAACGUAUUUGUCCCUAUUAGUCUCCGAGUAUUGGGAUAAUGGUCGUGCUUAGUCCACCGCUUGAAUACUCAUCUUCAGUUUUAAUAUACAUUUAAAUAAUCGAAUUUAGUUCAUUCUUUCACGGAUAAAAAAGAUUAGUUGGAUGCACUUGUUCAUCCUAGUCCCGAUUAGUUAUGUGAUGGGCGUACUUAGUCUCCCGUACAAACACUCAUUAUUCGUUAAAGAAAUGUGACCUACUUUGACUAACGAAUUUUAUAAAGAACGUGGACAUAAAAUGAUUAGUUGGAUGUACUUGUCCCUCUUAAUCUCCGAGUAUUUGGAUGAUAUACGUACUUAGCCUCUCGUUUGAGAGUUUGUCAUCCUCCUAAUAGAAACUCAACCUAUCAAAUCUUUUCCUUCUUAGCGCAAUGUCAAACCCAUUUACAAACGAAAGAUGCUUCGUCCAUUCUGAGAUGAUGCAAACAAAGCUUCAAUCCUACCAUGCACAAGAAGUAAGAACGCUUUUCACUCGAAUGCGAUGAAAACAUAACUAUGUGAGAUUCCAAUUUCUGUUGUCCAUUCUGAUGCAACACCAAUGUUCACUUCUCCGUGUUUUGGGUAGUAAUCAAUAUUUUUUGCUCGAAUGUGAACUAACCAUCCUUCGCUAAAAUUGAUUAACCCAUAAACAUUUUUUUACCCAAAACCAUGUAGUAUUGAUUUCCUCAUCGCACCUGAGGAUACAUAGGAGGGAGAUUCAAUGUCUCGUCAAGCACCACAAUAAUAAAAAAAAUCCAAAAAUAUAUUUUUCAUGCCAAGAACUACGUAGCUUUGAAAGGUCUCGAGAAGGAUGUGGUUGUUGCUCGGUUGAAUUCUCACAAAUCCCUUCAACAGGCUAUAGAAGUUGUGUGCAGGGUCUAAGAUGAAAUGUUGGAGCAGGCGCGAGGGGUUUGUCCCGACCUUUCGGUUACCGCUGACUAGCUUAAUCCUUUAGCAUAUGCUAUUGUAAAGGAUAUUGAAAGUGGUCCUAGAGCUUCAGAUUCGGAUGUCAAUGUAUGAAAGCCUUUUUGUUCUUCUUUCUUUGUUUUAUCUGCUCUUGUAAGAUUUGGUUGGGACUUCGUGCCUUGGUUUGUAAACAAUAUAUUUAUAUAUGUAUUUCAUUUAUUACCUUUAGUAUGCUUGUGUUUUUUGUUAUAGUAUUGCUCCUUAUUCAACUGUUAUUAUUGUCUGGCUGGGAUCCAAGGAGAACUAGGAUCCGAGGAGAGCCAAACUUGCUUGGGAAUCCUGUAGUUUGCAUAAUUUGUUUAUUAUAGAGAGUAGUAAAUGAUUUUUUCUUAAAGUGUAAAUUAUCUUAAGUCUUUGUGAGGUCGUGUAUGACUAUUUCUUUUCAGAGUGUGAUGCGCUAAGGAGUUCACAUUUUCUUGAUAUAAUAUCGAGGUAGUAGGGCGUAGCUAUACUCAGAAUGUGCUUGCGUAAAGGAAGCAUUGUCCCUUUUUUUAGAAAGUUUGAAAAAAGGAGUUUAAGUAUGUUUAAUUAUUUUAGGAUUUAUUGAGAAAAAAAGAUUUUCUGGAUCACUUGGCAAAGUCAAGGUUUAUUAAGAAAAGAUAUGAAGUUUGAAAACAAGAGGUUUUUAGAAAUAGGGAGAAGUUUUAAAAAUUGAAGAAGUGGGAAGGAAAUGAAGAGACUAUCUUAGAGCAUAAAAUAAAUGACAUGAAAUAAAAUGUCUCAUCAUAAGGUAGCCCAAGAGAAAGCAUUUGCGUGUGCAAGUGUACUAACCACAAGAUGGAGCAAGCAUUUAACAUUAGUCAAAACAAGCAUUCCUUUCCCUUUGGAUUGAGCCACAAGAUGUAAAAGCACAUAAGCAAAUGAAUAUCAAAAGAUCUAGAUGAAUAACAAAGCCACAAACCCACAAGGAAACAUCCAAGUCUUGAAUUGAAGAUCAAAGGGUCCAUAGGGAUCACAAAGUCUUAGAUACCACUCAAAGCAAGGGAAAACACUAAGUCUUAAGGUCCAAAUUUCGAAAUACUCCUCAAGCAAGGGAUAUUAACAGAAAGUCCAUAGGAUCAGAUUAAAGCUUUUUAGGGUUUUAGCCAUUUUAUCAUUUUUUGUUCUUUUGAAAUAAGAAAGCAAAAAAGGGAAAAAAAGUAAAAGGGAAGAAUGCAAAUUACAUGAAUGUAAAUCAUAUAAAUGUAAAGAGCAUAAAUGUAAAGUUAGGUGUUAGCACAAUUAAUAUGUUAAUGUUAGUGUUAAUAAAUUCAACUGAGUCAGGACAAUUUAGCGCUAUGUUAAGCAAUUGUAAGUGGACUUAUGUAGAAGUCACACCUAUCUGAGACCGGUCAAUAACAAUUUAUGUGUCAAACAUGUUAGAGAAAUGAUACAAAAUCAUUCUCCUAAAAUAAUAUAGUACAAUAGCUAAAAACAAAAGAAAAAGAGAGAUGGAGAUGAGGAGAGACUGGAAAACAAGCUCAAGUCAUCACAAGGGAUUGGUUAUCAUCAAGUCCAAAAGUCCAAAAUAUGAAACACCAAGGGAUGAACCUAUCAUUAGUCCAAAGUGUCAAAAAUGAUCAAAUGGUCAUUUAAAAAACAUGUUUGAAAUGAUGAAGGUUCAACUUAACCAAGGGUCAUCUAUACAAUAAUUAGAAGUGAUGAAGUAUUAAUCAACCAAGUAACUUCUCAAGUCAAACAUAAGUCAAACAAAACUGAAUUAAAUGGCAACUUAAAAUGAUUUUUAAUGGAAAAUAAAGAGAAAAUUCAAAUCAAACACCAAAAAAUAAAAUAAAUGAUUGAGAAAAUUAUGAGAAAUCAAGAAAAAUAUGACUCAUUGGAUCUCAAAAGUUGGAUGGAGAAAUGUUUAAAAGUGAUCAAAAAUAAAAAUUAAAUGAAAAAAUAAUAUAAAACAUCAAUAAAAUGCAAAAAUGAUUUUAAAAAUUAUGCAAAAAAUAUAUGUGAUGCAAAAUAUUUUUAAAGAUUUUGUGUAAAGUUUUUGGAUCAAAGUAAGUUAAAAAUCAAUCAAAAUAAAAUCAUAAAAGGAAAAUAAAAUAAAAUGAAAAUAAAAAUAAAAAAUGUUUGAAUUAGGGCGCCAAUGACUACUUUAUUUGAAAAAGCGCGCACAGGUCAACUUCAUCUUCAACCUUGAUUCAAUUCAUGUAAAUCGUGAACUAAGUGUUUUUAGCAUGAAUCAAGCAAGGAUUCAGCAUCAACAUCCAUCAUCGUCCAUGUCUCUUUGCUUCAGAGUCAUUGAUUGGAUCUGAGCAAAGAGAAUUUUCUCAAGAACACGAAGAACCCUAGUUCUUUAAAGCAAAGUUAAAUGAUGAAUACAAAGAAUAAAUUCUAGGUAAGUGACGACUUUUGAUCAGUGAAUCAAGACAAAGAGACGGGUAACUCGUUUGCUCAGAAAUUUAACUCGUAUCUACCC